UGCUCAACCAGCUAAGCCACCCAGGCACCCCUUCUUCCUGUUUUUAAAAAUUAUUAUUCUGGAUCUGAUGCCAGCUGUGGAUCCCUGCUGACAUUGUCUCCAGGACAAAGAAAAUGGAGCUGUGAACACCACCCACCAUGAGAGAAAGAGCAGGGGAAGCCCAAGAUACCAUAAACAGAAGAGGAAUGGGAGUGCCAGUGACACUGUGACAAAAUUAGGCUUUUAAUGAAGAUGAAGCAGGGUGAUAACUCCCACAAAUCACACUGGGUAGGACAGUCCAAGCAGACAAGGCUGCAUGACAAACAUGAUCCUCUUUCGGUUCAGUCGAUGUAUUGCUGCCGUUGGAUGGAAGUUUUCACUCAGAGUUAAGAAAUGUGAAUUUAAAAGUCAAGCACCCAAGAACCCCGGCUAUCUCAUCAACACUUCAGAUGCCUCAGAAAUGCAUUGGAAUUUUUAAAAAUUGAUUCUACAAAUCUCCCCCUCCACUUCUCUUCUGACCGCGUGGGAUUCGCAGCAGAAUACACACGAUAUAGACACAUCCCCUGAAGUGUAAUAGAUUUGAAUUGCACACAAGUUGGUGAAUGAAUGUCUAAAUAAUUAGGAGGUUAAUUAAUUUAAAAUAUAGGAGGAUGAGAGAAAUUUGAAGCUACGGAUUCAAUAGAGAUCUGCAAGCCUGUUCCGCUAAUGAAAACAGAGAGAGGUUUCACACCCAGUGUGGAGCCCAACACGGGGCUCAAACUCAUGACUGUGAGAUCAAGACCUGAGUAGAGAUCAAGAGUUGAACACCUAACCGAAUGAGCCACCCAGGUGCCCCUAAAUGCUAAUUAUAUUUACCCGUGCAGUGCUAGUUGUAUUUUCCAUCCUACACUAUUUCAUUUUUUUACAACUCUGGUUGCAACCCACUGAAGUGAUUUCAUGAUUCUCUACUGUCUCAGUUGGCAAUCUAAAAAACUCUAGCCUAAUGGAAAGCACAUAGAUUUUGGUAUAUAUAAAAAAAAGUUCCCUGGGAUCAGAUCUCACCUCUGCCACUUACUGCUUGUGUAAAUAUAGGAAAGAUUUUGUUUGCUUUAAAAAAAAAAAAAAAAAAAAGCUGAUCUUCAGUUUCCUCACCUACAAAAUGAAGACAGUGGCCGUCUUACCGACGUGUAUUAUACGGCACAGGACUCGGCACUUGGUAGGUACCCCAUAAGCUGUAGCUUUUGUAAUUGAUCUGCUUUGCUAUGCAGACAGGACUCUAGAAGAAGCUUGCCCCCAUUACCAAUGCCUUUGGGAACUCCGAAUGCAAUUACCUCAGGGCUUUGUCUCAGGGCCUGGUGUGGAAGCAGCUUCUGAGGUCUGUGAUACCCUUGCUUAACAGCAUGCUUCCAAGUCCUGCUAUUUGGAUUUGAUUUUUUAAAGUACUUCCUUUAUUUUAAUUCAGACCCCAGGGACCUGGAAAGUACACCACUGCUUUUUCCCAAUAAAAAUCAGACCAGCAAUAAGCAUAUUGCAUUUGAAAUGGUGAAGCUGGGCUCGCCUUCAAAGGACACCGCAUUAGGACUUGGCUCACCCCCAGCCUGUGUUCCACAGUCGAUUUCCCUGGAGGGAACUUGGCCACAGCCUUGAGGCCUGGUGGGCUGAAAGAAACCUUGGCUUCAACUAACUCUUUUGCAACUGGGCGGAUGAGACAUGAAGGAGAGAGAGAAACUACCCGAGCAACACUGAUGGCAAAUCAGGACUCACGUGUUACGGCUCAGACUCCAUCCUGGAAACCCAGAGCAGGUGGGGAGCAUCCCGCCCUCGCGGUCAGUCCCCUGAGCCUCACAUAAUGAGGGCUCUCCUUCACUCAACAGGCCUUGGUUAUCAGAGGCACUUUAAUCCCUGGGGAGAACACUUCCAAGGUAAAAAGAGACAUUUUCAGCAGAUACAACACGAUGGUAUUUGCAAUCAAUACUUCAAUACAGUCACAGGACAUAAUUAUAUUAAAUCAAAAGUUCUUUGCAUUUAGUUCUUACCACACACUGUAUACUGUAUCUUCCACCCUAAUAUAUUUUUCUAUUACCAUGUUCCUAUGAAGUCAAGAAUCUAAAUCCUAGAAAUAUUGUUAAUGUAAAAUAAGUCAGAUUCUGGACCUUCUAGGUAUCUGAUCAGUGUGUGUGUGUGCGUGUGUGCACGUGUGUGUGCGUGUGUAAAUAUUAGCAGUUUGUGGGUGAUUUAAAUUAUUUUGAAUCAUGGGUGGUUUAAAUUUUUUUUUUCUUUUUUGAUUUGCCAGCAAUUUCUAACCUUUUUGCUUACACUGAGCACACUAGUAGUAUACAUUUCACUUAACAAACUCAGGUACUUGAGAGAUGCUAUUUUCUUAAUUUUCCUAUUAGUGAGUUUAACUCCUAGUCCCAGCUCUAUUCCCCUUUGUGGCAGAAGUAUAAUCAUGUUCAAAUCAGGUACUGGGGGCUUGCAAACUGUCAAGCCAUCAGUAGGCGGGAGGUCUCUGGUUGGCCAUUGUCACAUCCUGUCCACACUGGUCACUUUUGCACACUCCUUGCCUGGACCACAAGCCCCCCAAGGCCAGCUGUCCCAAUGUCUUCCAGAUGCCCUGCUGGAGCAAAGGGAAUUCUGGGAGGCUCCCUCAGCCCUCCUCCUCUCUCCUGUCUCUCUGCACCAACACCUUGCCAACUGCUCCCCCCCAUGCAGGAAAAUCCCACAAGACUUGCCUUCCCUAAGCUCUGCCCUGGCAAGGCAAUAGCUCUCUAUAUUCUCGUCUCUCGCAAAUCUUACCUAGUGAGGGAGAGGUGUGAGCAGGGGAAAAACCCAAACAAACAAAAGUGACUCUGAUCAAUCACAUAUGCUUCUAAAUAGCUUUUGGGGUUUUUGUUUUUUAUGUGUAACUCCCAGAAUUGGACUCAUGUUCUCUGGUCAUACGUUAUGUCACAUGUCCUAUUACAUAUACGUUGAGCUAUUUAAUUUCAAUAAAUAAACAAGUAUAUGGAC
Canis lupus familiaris (dog) is the source of this 2967-nucleotide long non-coding RNA. RefSeq lists it as uncharacterized. The record is from RefSeq and is a predicted model, not a curated record. NCBI's taxonomy places the organism in Eukaryota, Metazoa, Chordata, Mammalia, Carnivora, Canidae. The transcript has 7 exons.